UGUGAGUCAGUGAGUGACUGGUGACUGGCUGCUGCAGCCAAUGAUGCGAUUCACAUACGUAUUUACCAUAGACUGUAUAUAAUGGUAUUUACGCAGCUAAUCAACGUCACGCGUCCUUAUGUGCAGCCACCGUUGUUGUCAUAGAUAUGAAUGAGUAGAUAGGACACGCCCCUUUGAGCUGCGUGCUACAGCGAGGCUAAGCUAGUGGGGGCAAAGUUUCAGUGCAUUCCGUUGAUGUAGACGGCGUGAAAACGGAAACAACAAGUAUGCCGGCUCACUGUGCUGCAUACAAUUACACACUGCGUCGUACGAUUGAGACAAGGAAACUUGGAAUGACUUUUCAUAGGUUUCCCAGAGACUAUGGGUUGAGGAGGAAUUGGAAGUUUGUCGGCUUAGACCUGGUGUCAUUCCAUCAGUGUUAAACUUCCCGGCUCAUCUUGGAAGAGUACGUGCCAGAAAGACCACGACCAAGCAGCCUUGAGAUCUUAGGCAGCGUCUCCCUGAGGUCCCUCUCUAUCUCCCCACACAUCCACCAACCACUGGAACACAUCUCCAAAGUUCUGCCGGGCCAGCUCAGCUUCCCCUCAGAAGAAGUGCCGCCAGAUGAAGGAGCCUUUUGAGAGGCAGCUGGCAUCGUGAUUGGACUGUACUUUGGUCUGUUCCAAUCCAGCUUCAGCUCCAGAGACGGCAGGCGGGACGAGUCAACGGAGGCCGGGUGGACGAAGGCAUGCAGCUGAGUACAA
This is a long non-coding RNA of Amphiprion ocellaris (clown anemonefish), 743 nucleotides long. RefSeq lists it as uncharacterized. The transcript has 3 exons. The record is from RefSeq and is a predicted model, not a curated record. NCBI's taxonomy places the organism in Eukaryota, Metazoa, Chordata, Actinopteri, Pomacentridae.